GUGAUAGCUGGUUCUCUGCGAAAUGCAUUGCAGUGCAGCGUCAAUGUUAGCUUAUGGUAGGUACAGCACUGAUUGACAUACGGUUUUACCGUUGACUAGGGGGGCGUAACAGCUCUAUCUAGGUCAGUUAACCUCGGAAUGACUAUAAGUGAUUAUUGGCAGUGAGUCCUAGGGUGAUAAGGUCUUAGGACGAGAGGGAAACAGCCCAAA
RNAcentral lists this ribosomal RNA (210 nucleotides) under Rhodotorula mucilaginosa. Its description in RNAcentral is "large subunit ribosomal RNA". It matches the Rfam family "Bacterial large subunit ribosomal RNA", at positions 842 to 1031 of the family's 2925-position model. Lineage: Eukaryota; Fungi; Basidiomycota; Microbotryomycetes; Sporidiobolales; Sporidiobolaceae. The record is from RNAcentral.